UACGGAGGGUGCAAGCGUUAUCCGGAUUCACUGGGUUUAAAGGGUGCGUAGGUGGGCAGGUAAGUCAGUGGUGAAAUCUCCGGGCUUAACUCGGAAACUGCCAUUGAUACUAUCUGUCUUGAAUACCGUGGAGGUCAGCGGAAUAUGUCAUGUAGCGGUGAAAUGCUUAGAUAUGACAUAGAACACCAAUUGCGAAGGCAGCUGGCUACACGAAUAUUGACGCUGAUGCACGAAAGCGUGGGGAUCAAACAGG
Molecule: ribosomal RNA, 253 nt
Filed under: uncultured bacterium
Lineage: Bacteria
Description: partial 16S ribosomal RNA
Rfam family: Bacterial small subunit ribosomal RNA
Source: RNAcentral